UGGUUGGUAUGGUAUGGUUGGUAUG
Molecule: microRNA, 25 nt
Filed under: Callorhinchus milii (elephant shark)
Lineage: Eukaryota; Metazoa; Chordata; Chondrichthyes; Chimaeriformes; Callorhinchidae
Description: eshark_NOVEL_394
Source: RNAcentral